Molecule: ribosomal RNA, 491 nt
Filed under: uncultured Tomentella
Lineage: Eukaryota; Fungi; Basidiomycota; Agaricomycetes; Thelephorales; Thelephoraceae
Description: eukaryotic LSU rRNA
Rfam family: 5.8S ribosomal RNA (bases 168-322)
Source: RNAcentral
CGGGGACAUGUGCACGCUCUGUUUGCACAUCCAUUCACACCUGUGCACCCUCUGUAGUUCUGCAGCCUGGGGGCUCUGGCCCCCUGCCGUGGUUCUAUGUAUUUACACACACACACGCUGUAACAAAGUCUCAUGGAAUGUAUACCGCGCUUAACGCAAUACAAUACAACUUUCAGCAACGGAUCUCUUGGCUCUCGCAUCGAUGAAGAACGCAGCGAAAUGCGAUAAGUAAUGUGAAUUGCAGAAUUCAGUGAAUCAUCGAAUCUUUGAACGCACCUUGCGCCCUUUGGCUAUUCCGAAGGGCAUGCCUGUUUGAGUAUCAUGAACACCUCAACUCUCAUGGCUUGCCAUGAUGAGCUUGGACUUUGGGGGUCUUGCUGGCCUGGGGUCAGCUCCUCUCAAAUGAAUUAGCUUGCCAGUGUUUGGUGUGGUAUCAUGGGUGUGAUAACUAUCUACGCUUGUGGUUUUCCACCCAGUAACCUUCUGCGACG